Xyrauchen texanus (razorback sucker) is the source of this 1571-nucleotide long non-coding RNA. RefSeq lists it as uncharacterized. The record is from RefSeq and is a predicted model, not a curated record. The transcript has 3 exons. NCBI's taxonomy places the organism in Eukaryota, Metazoa, Chordata, Actinopteri, Cypriniformes, Catostomidae.
CCCCUAGACACCCAGGAACAUUUGGCGUUGCUUGACAACAGUUUGAGGCAGGAUAAAGAGCUCCAGCAACGAUUUCUUCGGUUUUUGGCAAUCAAAUGUGGGAGGGACCUAAAGACAACCGUGUGGCUGAAUGCUUCAGAGUAUCUUCUCUAAUCACCUUUCCAUCAAUACAACCUGGACUGGUGUAGGGGAUAAAGCAUGUUUUAGAGACAUGUUCCUGAAGACCAUUGUUCAAAGAGCCAUCCGGAAGAACCCGGCAACACAGGAUGCCACUGAUGAGUGAUCCAGGUUAACGUUACGCGUUACCUGAAAGGAGCAUCUGAACAUGAAGGUGGAAAAAGGCGCCGCACAGCUGAGAGGGACCCACAGCCGACCCCUUAAACCUAGGCUGACUACUGACACCCCAGCAUCACUGGAACCCUUUCUUUAUCCUGCAGUCAGUAACAUCAAGACCCCUAAAAAAGCCUGCUAAAAGUGUCAGACUACACUCACCCAAUCCACACUGUUCACUGUGGAAAUUGCUCUUUUUUUUUUUUUUUUCUCGUGACCCUGCUUUGAGGGCAGCUCCUUGGAUGAAUAUGGGAUGGUUUGUCCUUUUAUACAGGCGCAUGAGGAAUCACUGAAGAUAUGCCAAUUUGCACUGCCUCAUUCUGGAGGUCGGGAAAACCGGUGAUUCUUAGCCCAGAAGUCCCCAACCUCUCCAGACAUUCUGAUUGGCUGUGUUCUCUACAGCCAGAUUUUCUGCUGUUAAUUAUAUUUAUUCCCACUUGUUGUCAUGUGUAAGUUGAAUGUCAAAAUGUAUAUUAUACCUGUUAUCCUGCAAAUUCCUUGAUACCAAAGAUCUCAAUUAUUUCAUAUACAAUUUGCUGCUUAUUUCGUUGUUACAGUGCUUAACUAUUCUAUUUUUAAAUAUAGCUUGUAAAUCCUAGAUUAUACAUCUAAUACUUGAUAUUUGCACAUUAUCUGGUAUCAAAUAUUCUACUUACCGUGACUUUAGUAUUGGCUUAUUUCAUUCCGUCAGUGCUUAACGAUUCUAUUAUAGUUUGUAAAUCCUAUUUCAUACCUCUGAUACUUGAUAUUGUACAUUAACUAGUACCAAAAAUUCUACUUUCAUUCCAUCACAGUGCUUAACUGUUAUUCUAUUGUUACAUAUAGCUUGUAAAUCCUUGUGAAACAAGUCAGCAUUGCAGUUAUAAUGGUAUAUUCUACUCCAGAGCUUUACUCUAAAUUAUUACCACUUAACCUAUUGUUAGAAAUGACUUGUAAAUAUGAUGUUAUACCUCAAUAUAUUUGGUAUCCUGCACUUUCUUUGGUACCAAAUAUCCUCAUUGCUUGUGUUUACUGGUAAUUCUUUUCAUCCCAGAGCUGACCUCUUUAUAUUAUUAACAAUUAUUGUAAGUGUUACAAUAGUGUUUUUUUAAAAAAAAAAGAAAUUGGAAACCUGCAUGUUCUUUAGUGUGUGUGUGUGUGUGUGUGUAUAUAAUGUUUGUAUUUUUCUGUUAUUUAUAUUUCAGUGAUCUGACAUCUUGUUUCAAUGACAUUUACUGUACUUUGAAAUGUGGAAUUAAAAC